This 253-nucleotide ribosomal RNA is filed under the name uncultured bacterium. RNAcentral describes it as "partial 16S ribosomal RNA". It matches the Rfam family "Bacterial small subunit ribosomal RNA", at positions 524 to 776 of the family's 1533-position model. The record is from RNAcentral.
UACAGAGGGGGCAAGCGUUGUUCGGAAUUACUGGGCGUAAAGGGCGCGUAGGCGGCCUGCUAAGUCGAACGUGAAAUCCCCGAGCUCAACUCGGGAACUGCGUCCGAUACUGGCAGGCUUGAAUCCGGGAGAGGGAUGCGGAAUUCCAGGUGUAGCGGUGAAAUGCGUAGAUAUCUGGAGGAACACCGGUGGCGAAGGCGGCAUCCUGGACCAACACUGACGCUGAGGAGCGAAAGCCAGGGGAGCAAACGGG